RNAcentral lists this ribosomal RNA (119 nucleotides) under Ipomoea nil (Japanese morning glory). Lineage: Eukaryota; Viridiplantae; Streptophyta; Magnoliopsida; Solanales; Convolvulaceae. The record is from RNAcentral.
GGAUGCGAUCAUACCAGCACUAAUGCACCGGAUCCCAUCAGAACUCCGAAGUUAAGCGUGCUUGGGCGAGAGUAGUACUAGGAUGGGUGACCCCCUGGGAAGUCCUCGUGUUGCAUACC